Molecule: long non-coding RNA, 1658 nt
Organism: Tupaia belangeri chinensis (Chinese tree shrew)
Lineage: Eukaryota; Metazoa; Chordata; Mammalia; Scandentia; Tupaiidae
Exons: 4
Source: RefSeq, a predicted model, not a curated record
UCCACUGGGCGCGGCUAGUGGCUCAGCGAACUGCGAAGGGAGUGUCUCUAAUUGUCGCCUGCGUGAACUCGGGUACCCUGAGGGUGUUCGAAAAGAACCCCCACUCUGGACCCCAAAGUCUGCCCAGCCAAGGUAGCAGUGAUCUCUGCCGAGAAGACUUUGUCUUACUUAUACGACUUUCUCUUCUUUUCCCUCUGCUCUUGGGUGCCUCCCUGCCUCUGCGCGUUCAGAAAGCCAGAUUUCGGGGAUGCUCUACCGUAGAGCAGAACAUUUCGGCCCGGAUCUGAGUCCUUCUUUUCGGAGUGGAUUGAUGGGAGGGACUGAAAAAAUCGGUGUGGUAGUGAGACGCAUUGCAAUUGCUGAAAUCGUGAACUAUAAUGCUUUGGGGGAGAUAACUUCCUGCAAACCUAGAACUUUCGGAUUACUUCUGAGCUUGAAGAACCCUGUUUUCUACAAAUGACUACGUGGUCUUCUCUGGAAUGCCAGCUUCUUCAGUCUAAGGAAAAGAUGCUGAAGAUAUUCAGGGGGAAAAAGGUCACUUCAUAUGAGUUCAAGAAAAAAAAAAAAAACAUCUCCUAAACCUAUGCCUACUUCAAGAGAUUAAAAAGGCCCUAUGGAUUUCAUUCAUUUCCACAGACUGGACCAAAAACAACCAGAGCAAAGACUCAGCCAACAUAACACCAGCCAUAAUUGUUGGGUUGCAUUGGCUUUGUUUCAUGUGUGACUGACUUAGCUAGUACUUCCUCAUUCGUUGCACUUCAGCAGCAAUGUCAAAAGAUGAAGAAAUCACACAUUUUUUUCUUUAAAGAUUGUCCCACGAGCAAUUGGUACAAAAGUGAAGCUGGUCCUUGUGGUCAUUCACAAGAUCUUCAAUGAGUCUGAAUACUUCCACGCUGCAAAUUGGAAGUAAGGAUGCACAUGGAGGUACCAGGAGAGACUGCCAAACCUGGGAGAAGCAGGCUGCCUCUGUUCUCUCCUGUCAGAGUUCUUUGGUUGUAAGCAUUGGAAAGUUAUUAUUUCAGCUACUUAAACAAAGGAGAAUUUGUUGAAAAGAUAUCAGAGGCUUUUCAGUUGGCUGGAGAACCUUGCUAAUAAACUAGGAAACACCAAGAAAAUUCCACAAAGCAGGAGUCUCCGCUAUGGUCUGAAGAAGAAAAUUCACAUGCUCUUGUUGGGACGGUUCUUGGUUCUUCCUCAGUAGCUCAGAGUUCUAUACCAUGGACACUGGUGUGAGGCUCUGCAGGGAAUCUAAGUGAUAAGGCACAGGGCCAGCAGGUGGCACAGUGGUUGAGGGUGCUGGACUACCACAUGGCCAACUACAGUUUUGAGUCCCAAACCUGGUGGCUUGCUUUCUCACCUUCCUUCUCUUUGUCUCACUCUCUCCCUGUCUGGUCAAAUUAAAAUAAGUGAAUAAAUAAAGUUAAAAAUUUAAAAAUAAAAGACAGAUAAGACACAACCACUGCCCUACUGGAUGGUACAAUCAGGGAAGGAGAGAAAAAGAUAUACAAAUGAUGAAAUAUAAAUCCAAGUGUUAAUCAUGGUAUGAGGGAGCCAGGAGGUGGUGUGGUGGUUAAGGUGCUGUACUUCUAUAUGGCCAGCCACGGUUCAAGGCCCAGGUCUGGCAGCUUGAAAAAUCAUGAUGAUGCGUAUGCGUGUGU